Harpia harpyja (harpy eagle) is the source of this 3292-nucleotide RNA transcript. RefSeq lists it as uncharacterized. Lineage: Eukaryota; Metazoa; Chordata; Aves; Accipitriformes; Accipitridae. The transcript is spliced from 4 exons. The record is from RefSeq and is a predicted model, not a curated record.
GUGGGGUGGGCUGUUUGUUUUAGGCGGGUGAUAAAAUCGCAGUUAACGAGCUGAUAAUUCGUUCGUGUUUGUUUUAAAAGACAAAUUGUAAAGAUUAAUCAGGCGGCUUGAUUUAUGGCGAGGCAGACCCCGGCGCUGCCCGGCCAGGGCUCCCUGAAGCCCCCGGCUCGGGUUACCCGGGGGCCGGCAGGCGAAGCAAAACAAAAGGGGCGAGCGGGCAGCGGCUCCGGCCGCGCUGCCUCGGGCCUGGCCCCCCGCCCCGGCGCCCGCCCCCACCCCCCCACCCUCCCCCUCGGGCCGGGGGGUCCGGCGGCCCCCUCCCCGCCGCCGGGGUGCUGGCACUGCGGCCGGCGCCUCUCCUCGCACCCAACUCUCGCGUUUUGCAGCUCCCCCCCCUUCCAUUAAAACCCUUUGUAAAAUGAAAUGACCCCCUCCAGCAGGGAUGAACGAUUUCUGCUGAGGGAGCGGUUUAAUUCCCGUGGCUGAGCUGGGAGAUUUCCUAGCCAGCCGGCUCUCAGGAUUUUACUUUAUUUUAUUUUAUUUCUUUCCCCGCCGCGUCCCGUUCCCGCUGCCUGCGUUUGGCGAACCGGCUGCCGGCUCCGGUCUCGGCCGCUAAAUGCCCCGGCGGCACGGCUGGGGUUUUUUAAUUGAAUUAAUUCACCCAUCGGGAACAUCGGCAGCCCGCGCUGGCUGCUGGAGGCGAGCAGCUUAGCUCCGCUCCGCAGCCCGCUUCACACGGCUGGUUAAGCAGCUCUCCCCUCAAUUUUCUGCCAAGCCUCCGGGGAGAGGGUCCUGCCGGGCCCGGGACGCGCCCUGCUCCCUCACCCCGCUCCUUGCAAACCCCCAUUUGCCGCCUUUUCUCCCCUUUUUUUCCUUUUUUUUUUUUUUCCCCCGACACAACGGGCUCCGCUUUAUUAACUUUAUUUUGUUAUUGCCGUUGCAAUUUUUUUUCUUUUUCAAUAAGGGAGCUUUCCCAGAUCUGGAAGCACAACUGGUUAUUUUGAUUUGAUUGACAAGUGAUGUCAUAUCGUUAAGGGAGGGGGGAGACGACAACAUGUUUUAGCAACAGUUAGCAGCGCCAUGUGAUGGAGUUGACACCUAUGCCCGGGCAGAGGCGAAGGCAGAAAACAAAUACCCCCGGCCGUGCACGCAGACUAUUUAUUUACACACCCGGGCUGGCGUUUCUUCCUCUUCCUCACCCCCCCCCCCCCCCCCCCCCCCGAUCCUGGGUGCUUGGACCUGAGAAAAAGUGUACCUGAGCAAACGGGGCUGGGCUGGGUGGGACCCGCAGCCCCCGGGGCACUUUCCUCCAGACACCCCCCUUCCCGGGGUGCCCCCGGCGCCCCCCCCGCCCUGUCCAGGGGCCACGCUCCCUCCCGGUGAACGGAGACCCGGGGGUCAAGACCUCCCGGGGCGGCCGUGCAGCAUCCUUCCCCCCCCCCGCUCCGCGCUCCGCCCCGAAGUGCAACCGGCGGCGGCCGCAAGCAGGGAGGGCAGGAAAAACUCCUCGAAAAGGAAGAAAAAGAGGGAGAGGAGCGCUCAGCCCCGCGCCGGGCCGCGGUGCUCCCGGCCGCCGGGCGAUGUGCGAGCCCCGGGGCGGGCCGGGGAAGGCGGCUGCCCUCCGGCGGGGAGGGGGCUGGGAGGGCCGGCGGCGGGCUGUGGGCGUACCGCCCCGACCCCCCCCUCCCGCCCCGCCGGGGGCCGCGGCAGGUAGAGGACCAGCCGGCCGGUGCGAGCGGCUGCCGCCCGCCCGCAGUCUUUCGGGCAAUGCACCUGCACGUAAGGGAGGCAGCGGAGAAGCUGGAAGAGGCGCAAGCAGAUAUUACGCGACGAGUCGUUGUUAUAGCUAGGAAAGAAACGGAAGAGGGAGAUGCUGUCGCCAGCCGCGCCCUGGGAUCGCCCCUGCACGGAACGACUCUAAAACGAGGGACCGUCGCUCAGGCGGACAAACUACGGCAAAAGCGGGGUUUGAAGCCUGCAGAUUUUUCCCCGAGCUGGGACAGACGGGGGUGUCCGAGCCGGGGGCCGGGGGGGCUGAGCCCGGCGGAGGCGCAGGGCUGCCCACCCGAGGCUCACCGCGCUGCUGCCUGCUCGCCGGCCAGGCUGUCCCGGGGCCAGGGCCGACCCCCCAAGUGCCACCAGAGGCAUUUGGGGCCGGAGGGGCGGGGGGUUGCGAUUUUCCCCUCAUGUCGGCUGGAAGAGAAGGAUGUUUUCCUCUGCUGUUUAGCUUUCGUGCUAAAGAUGUCAUCUGAAAGUCUGGGAGGAAGGGGGGAAUUGUGCUCUGCUCUCUUCCACGGUAACAACCAUAUUCUGCAUAUUGAAAAAUAUGAUAGACAGUGGGGAAGGCGCACUUCCCCCCCACCCCCUUUAAAAAAAAAAAAAAAAAAGACCCAACCUUUUCAAUAUUGAUUCAACAAAAAAGAGAGGGAGAGAAUUUAAAAAGAGAAGAAGCAGCACCAGCAGCAGGGAGAAUAUAGGCUCAGCAACUCUCCAGAUUAUCGGAACCCUUUCAAAACUCACACAACAAAUACAGCCACCGCAUCUAAUGCAUCAUUUACCAGAGCAGAUCUCCGCGUUUGAUCGGCAGAUAGGCAAAAUCUAUGUAUUCCUUGCUUUACUUAGUAUGCAUGGACGCGGGGCUGCUGUGCAUGCAGGGUGCCCCCCGGCUGGGCCUGGGACACCCCCGAGGCUCUUAGCACACGCAGGUCUUUGCUGUGGACUCCGUGGAGUGACAAGAGUGUCCCCUGCCUGUUCUGGACCCGGGGGAGCAGGGUGGGACAGCAACCCACCUUGCAAGGUGCUGCCGUGCGGCAUGCUUGGAAAUUUGGGGUUGCUCUGCUGGGGAGCUAGUGGAUUUGCAGGGAGAGAGGAAGAGGUGUGAGCAUCAUCCUGGGCACCCCAGGCACCCGCUCACACUCACGCUCCCUCCUGCACCCACAGUUGCAUUCACCCCUGCCCACAAGCGGCUGCUGAGCCCCAGCUGCGUGGCAGCACCCCUGUGCUCCAGAAAACCACUUUUAGGCUCAGCUGUGCCCUAGUCCUGCCUCAGCCCUCGGCAGUCUCGGGGCCCAGCUGGACCAGUCUGGUAAAACCUCCCGGUGCCCCCCCCAGCUUGUCCCCCCCGCAAAUCCUGGCAGGCCAGCCGUGGAGUCCCCCAGGGGCUGGGGCCAGCUUCCAGCCCUCCCCGAUGGUGCUGGGUGCCCCCCCCACAUCCCAGCCCCAGGCAAAACAGGGCACCCAGGGCAGCCCAGAUUUGGGGAGCAACUGGUGAUCCUGGGGGAGAAGAAUAAAC